CGAGACCUCAGGUCAGGCGGGGCUACCC
Molecule: ribosomal RNA, 28 nt
Filed under: Vigna angularis (adzuki bean)
Lineage: Eukaryota; Viridiplantae; Streptophyta; Magnoliopsida; Fabales; Fabaceae
Also listed under: 1 other name
Description: partial large subunit ribosomal RNA
Source: RNAcentral